Molecule: ribosomal RNA, 253 nt
Filed under: uncultured bacterium
Lineage: Bacteria
Description: partial 16S ribosomal RNA
Rfam family: Bacterial small subunit ribosomal RNA
Source: RNAcentral
UACAGAGGUCCCAAGCGUUGUUCGGAUUCACUGGGCGUAAAGGGUGCGUAGGUGGUCAGGUAAGUCCGAUGUGAAAUCUCCGAGCUCAACUCGGAAAUGGCAUUGGAUACUAUCUGGCUAGAGGAGUGGAGGGGGGACUGGAAUACUUGGUGUAGCAGUGAAAUGCGUAGAUAUCAAGUGGAACACCAGUGGCGAAGGCGAGUCCCUGGACACUUCCUGACACUGAGGCACGAAAGCUAGGGGAGCAAACAGG